UGAUUUCUUUUACGCAGUAUACUUAACUCAGCGUUAUCAUGAAGAUGUAAUAUUUAAAUAUGGAGGAAUUACGAAGAAUUUCGAAAACUUGAUUGCAUUUAAAGUGGAUAUUUAAAUGAAUGAAUUAAGAUUUUUGAAACAUUCUGUUCUAUGCAUUCGUCUUCAUCGGUGCGCGUUUUUUAAAACAUUGUUCCGCUGGAAAAAUGAAAGUCGACUGUUUUGGAUGUUCAGCUGGAACAGCUGUUGUAAUUUCGCUUCUCAUUAAUUUGAUUUCAAAUAAUAUUCUGUGGAAUGGCAUCGGCUCAGAGUUCCUAAAACAUAAACGUCAGUAUUAAAUAUACUCGUAAACUGCAAAUAUACAGUCAUCUUAUCUGAAAAUGUAUUCCAAUUUCAUUCGUACUUCAUUCUACUCCAAACAAUUCUAUCGGUGUUUGCGAUAAUAAUUGUGACCAUGUUCAAAAUUCAUUCCUCCAGUGUUACCGCUCGUAUAAUCAAAAUUCAAGUAUGGUUACUUGGUUUCAUUGUGGCUUCAUUAAUAUACGAAAUCGUGGUCAUAUUCUUAUUCUCAGUUGGUACAAUGGUUUUGCAAGAAGACUUUGAUGUAAACAAACAAGCAACUGCAUCAUUUCAUGUUUUUAUAUUCAUGCUACCGAUUUUCUUUUUGGGUCUCAAGUUACAUGCUGCUACUGUGACGUUUGGUUAUAGACUUGAAAUAUCUGAACAAGAACAAAUAUCGAUAGAUGUUAGUAAUGAUACUGAAAACGGAUAUUUUCAUUCUAGACAACAGUUGGUUACUUCAAGCUCAUCUUCCACAGUUACUUCACUUCCUUCUUAUGAUACAUUGAUGAAAUCUGAUCACGUGCAGGAAUCUGAUUCGUUGACGCCACCACCUCGUUAUUCAAUCAUUUUCAACUAGUACAUACAUUUAUUUCAGUGCAGUAGUCAUUAAGAAAUUAGUAGGUACUCACACAUGUACCUAGUUUAUGUUAUAAGUUUUGACUAGUGAAGUUGACCCAUUUGACCCCCAUUUUUACGUAUCCGUUGAAAAAGUUGGACAACCCCUUUUUCACUCGGUGAAAUAAACUCAUCACAAAAAAAAUCAAAAUUCAAAAAAAUAAACGAAUUUUAAUUUUUUUGCUAUGAGUGUGAUUUUUAGUGACUUUUUACAUGAAAUACGUCAGAAAGAGGCCAAAAUAAGGCAACUGAAUAAAUUGAAACUUUUUUGAUGCAUGGAAUUGAAAAUUGAACUUUUUCGAAUUUCGAUUUUUUGUGAUGAGUUUAUUUCAUAGAUUGAAAGGGUUUUUUGAAUUUUUACAACGGAUACGUAAAAAUAGAGGUCAAAUGAGUCAACUUCACCAGUAAACACUUUUUUUUUCAUGUUUUAAAUUAAAAAAUCACAUUUUUUCGCAAA
Planococcus citri (citrus mealybug) is the source of this 1411-nucleotide RNA transcript. RefSeq lists it as uncharacterized. The transcript is spliced from 4 exons. NCBI's taxonomy places the organism in Eukaryota, Metazoa, Arthropoda, Insecta, Hemiptera, Pseudococcidae. The record is from RefSeq and is a predicted model, not a curated record.